RNAcentral lists this transfer RNA (68 nucleotides) under Caenorhabditis elegans. RNAcentral's name for it is "tRNA-Ala". It matches the Rfam family "tRNA". Rfam says of the family: Transfer RNA (tRNA) molecules are approximately 80 nucleotides in length. Their secondary structure includes four short double-helical elements and three loops (D, anti-codon, and T loops). Lineage: Eukaryota; Metazoa; Nematoda; Chromadorea; Rhabditida; Rhabditidae. The record is from RNAcentral.
GUGUAGCUCAGUGGUAGAGCGCUCCCUUAGCAUGGGAGAGGGCUGGGGUUCAAUUCCCCAUAACUCCA